AGUGAACGCUGGCGGUAGGCCUAAUACAUGCAAGUCGAACGGCAGCACAGUAAGCGCUCGCUCUUACGGGUGGCGAGUGGCGGACGGGUGAGGAAUACAUCGGAAUCUACUUUUUCGUGGGGGACAACGUAGGGAAACUUACGCUAAUACCGCAUACGACGUACGGGUGAAAGCAGUGGAUCUUCGGACCUUGCGCGAUUGAUUGAGCCGAUGCCGGAUUAGCUAGUUGGCGGGGUAAAGGCCCACCAAGGCGACGAUCCGUAGCUGGUCUGAGAGGAUGAUCAGCCACACUGGAACUGAGACACGGUCCAGACUCCUACGGGAGGCAGCAGUGGGGAAUAUUGGGCAAUGGGCGCAAGCCUGAUGCAGCCAUGCCGCGUGAGUGAAGAAGGCCUUCGGGUCGUAAAGCUCUGUUAUUAGGAAAGAAAAACAGCAGGUUAAUACCCCGCUGUUCUGACGGUACCCAAAGAGUAAGCACCGGCUAACUUCGUG
This 492-nucleotide ribosomal RNA is filed under the name uncultured bacterium. RNAcentral describes it as "partial 16S ribosomal RNA". It matches the Rfam family "Bacterial small subunit ribosomal RNA", at positions 29 to 507 of the family's 1533-position model. The record is from RNAcentral.